Non-coding RNA from Rattus norvegicus (Norway rat), 69 nucleotides. NCBI's taxonomy places the organism in Eukaryota, Metazoa, Chordata, Mammalia, Rodentia, Muridae. The record is from Rfam.
GGGGAUUUAGCUCAGUGGUAGAGCACUUGCCUAGCAAGCACAAGGCCCUGGGUUCGGUCCCCAGCUCCA